GUGCUCACUUUGGCAGCACAUAUACUAAAAUUGGAACGAUACAGAAAAGAUCAGCAUGGCCCCUGCGCAAGCAUGACACGCAAAUUCGUGAAGUGUUAUAUUUUUUG
Molecule: small nuclear RNA, 107 nt
Filed under: Saimiri boliviensis boliviensis (Bolivian squirrel monkey)
Lineage: Eukaryota; Metazoa; Chordata; Mammalia; Primates; Cebidae
Source: RNAcentral